GGCGGACGGGUGAGUAACACGUGGGCAACCUGCCUGUAAGACUGGGAUAACUUCGGGAAACCGAAGCUAAUACCGGAUAGGAUCUUCUCCUUCAUGGGAGAUGAUUGAAAGAUGGUUUCGGCUAUCACUUACAGAUGGGCCCGCGGUGCAUUAGCUAGUUGGUGAGGUAACGGCUCACCAAGGCAACGAUGCAUAGCCGACCUGAGAGGGUGAUCGGCCACACUGGGACUGAGACACGGCCCAGACUCCUACGGGAGGCAGCAGUAGGGAAUCUUCCGCAAUGGACGAAAGUCUGACGGAGCAACGCCGCGUGAGUGAUGAAGGCUUUCGGGUCGUAAAACUCUGUUGUUAGGGAAGAACAAGUACGAGAGUAACUGCUCGUACCUUGACGGUACCUAACCAGAAAGCCACGGCUAACUACGUGCCAGCAGCCGCGGUAAUACGUAGGUGGCAAGCGUUAUCCGGAAUUAUUGGGCGUAAAGCGCGCGCAGGCGGUUUCUUAAGUCUGAUGUGAAAGCCCACGGCUCAACCGUGGAGGGUCAUUGGAAACUGGGGAACUUGAGUGCAGAAGAGAAAAGCGGAAUUCCACGUGUAGCGGUGAAAUGCGUAGAGAUGUGGAGGAACACCAGUGGCGAAGGCGGCU
Molecule: ribosomal RNA, 643 nt
Filed under: uncultured bacterium
Lineage: Bacteria
Description: bacterial SSU rRNA
Rfam family: Bacterial small subunit ribosomal RNA
Source: RNAcentral